This is a long non-coding RNA of Topomyia yanbarensis, 4578 nucleotides long. RefSeq lists it as uncharacterized. The record is from RefSeq and is a predicted model, not a curated record. The transcript is spliced from 3 exons. NCBI's taxonomy places the organism in Eukaryota, Metazoa, Arthropoda, Insecta, Diptera, Culicidae.
UUGAGAAAUGUCAACAACUCUAAUUCUGUUUUUAGGUUGUUGUGUCUAUAGCAUGUGUGUGAUUAAGGUUUUCGGAAAACUACUAUGAUCGGAAAAAUGGAACGACUAGAACUGAUAUUGAAGCGUUCCAGAAAUUCCGGAGGGCUAUCCUCGAGGUUCCAAGGGAGAGUGCUCGUAGAAAAAUUAGGAAAUGUAUUGGAGACACUCUCAACCUCGCAGAGCUCGGCAUACCAAACAUCAGAUGCAUGGAACACUCCUAUCCGAUUUCCUAGCAUAUCUUCGAGAUCGUAACAUGCUGAUCCUAUUUUUCCGACCACUUUUGCUAGAGAGAAGGGGUCUGUUAGCUUUGCUGAGAAAUUCUUCUCACCUGCUUCCCUUAGGUGUUUAUAUUCUGACCCUGAACUGAUAUAAUUGUGCCCAUAAUUGAUGAAGUAUGGCGUGAACGAAGUGGAUUCGUGCUCGGCAGUUCUUAUAGUCAUCGCGACCUUCUGAAUUUCUCGAUCCUAAUCUCUGUGGUCCCCCUUUACAUAGGUUCGAAUUGCAGCACCAAUCACCCGAUUUACCCUUUCUGUUGGGUUAUUCGCUGGGUGAUAGUUUGCGUUUCGCCAAUGUGUUACGUGAUAACGCUUAAGAAAUUUGUCGAAUUCUUUCGACUUGAACUGUACCCCGUUGUCAGAAAUAAGUAUUUCUGGCACCCCAAUAGCAGAAAUACCAUAUUUUCUAGGAAAGCCACUAAGGCUGGAGUUUUUACUUCUCUGAGUGGCUGGAUGACCACGAAUUUAGAAAAUAGGUCCGUUACUACCAACAAGACUGAAUUGCCAUUUCGCGAUCUGGGGAAUGGACCGACAAAGUCAACUGAUAUAGUCUGCCAUGGGAGUGAAGCUAAUUUUUGCUUCCCCAUUGGAGGGACACGGCUCGUAUUCGGGUAUUUAGUCCGUUUACAUACUUCGCACCCUUGACAGUAUUUUCUAACGUCAUCGUCCAUUGCAGGCCAAUAGUAUUUCUCUUGCAUCUUCUUGAGCGUUUUGUAUCGGCCAAAGUGGGUGGCAUCAUCGAUACCUAGAUAUUUUAAAUUUACUGAAUUUAGCCUGAUCCUUCAUUAUAUUUUCUUUCAGUUUCGACAUCUUGGAUUUCAACGGUGUCAACUGCUCGCGACAACGCAUCCGCUGUAAUAUUUAAUGAUCCCUUUGUGUACUGCAAGUUAAAACUAUAUUGCUGUAACUUUAAAGCCCACCUGAUUAGUUUUGCGGAUCCCUUCUCCGCGCUUAUUUUCCGAAGCCAAAUCAAGCUUUGGGCAUCUGUUACCACAGUAAAAUUUCACCCUUCAACGUAAUGCCGAAAUUUCUCAAUUGCCAAGAUAACUCCUAGGCAUUCUUUUUCUGUAGGUGCGUAUUUCUUUUGGGUUGCAGAUAGCUUUUUCGAAAAGAAUUCUAUCGGCCUUCUUACGUUGUCUUGAACCUGUACUAAAACUGCACCCACUGCUACGUCCGAGGCAUCUGACUCAAUAAUAAAUGGUAGAUUAAUGUCAGGGUUUGCUAAUACAUUCGGCGAAGUCAAAACAGACUUAAUUCUAAGGAACGAAUCCUCUGCUUUCGUCCAGUAUAUCGGAACCUUUCCUUCUUUAGAAGGUCGGUAACAGGCGCAGUCAAGUCACUAUAGUGCCCAAUAAAUUGUUUAUAGAAACUGACCCUCCCUAUAAAACGCCUAACGUCCUUCUGGCUCUUUGGGAGAGGAUAGUCGAGGAUUGGCCGAAUCUUCGAGCUAUCGAUUGCUAAACCAUGUUCUGACAAUGUAUAUCCCAAAUAGCUUAUCAUUUUCUGACAAAAUUUCGACUUUUCCAGACUUAUUGAUAAGUUUGCAUUCUUUAGGCGCUCUGCGAAAAUGUUCUGCGAGUGUAUUUGACGUUAUGAUUAUAUCGUCAAGGUAUACAUGCACAUAUGGCUCAAGAUCAAAUCCUAAGACUUUAUUCAUCAACUUUGUUUGUGUAGUUGGUGCGCUCUUUAAGCCAAUUGGCAUCACCUUGAAGCAACAGAGUUGUUUACCUGCCCGGAAAGAUGUAAAAUCUCUACUGGACUCGUCGAGUAGGAUUUGCCCUAGGGGCAGAUCACUCUAGAAAUGUAUAACAAAUUUGCAUCAAAUUAGGAAAAAUGCAUUUAAUUUCCAUUGGGAGCACGUCGUUUGGCAUAAGUUCGUUUGGCAUAAGUUCAUUUGGCAUAAGUUCAUUUGGCAUAAUGUUCAUUUGGCAUAACAGCAGGUGACACAUACGUUCGUUUGGCAUAAUGUUCAUUUGGCAUAAUGGUCAUUUGGCAUAAUGGUCAUUUGGCAUAAUGGUCGUUUGGCAUAAUGGUCAUUUGGCAUAAUGGUCGUUUGGCAUAAUUUAAAAAAUACGUUGAAUUUUCUGUUACUAGUCGUUGACGACUAAUGUGGCUACGCUCCGUCGGACUUGAACUAGUUGAUAGCCCCUAUGUUUGAGUAAUCCGGGCAAACGAGUGGAUCACAGGUUUGCUCGCGAGGGGCCGCCGACGCACCAUCGGAACCCGGCGGAUCCCGCUUCGGAUCCUUGGUCUCAGUUAUGCGACAAUGCCAAGGGUUAAUUGGUAUAUAGGUUCAAAAAAAUGCUCAUAUUUGAAAGAAGAAUCAACCCUUAUGUUUAAGUAAUCCGGGCAAACGAGUUAAUCAACACUUUGCUAGCGAACUUAUUAAACAUGCAGAUUAAAAGAGCUACUCAUUUUUGAAAGAAGGAGUCAACUCCUAAUUUUGGGUGAAACGGGCAAACGAGUAUAUUUACUUGUUUACCCGUACAGUUUACUUGCGAGGGCCAUUUGGUAUGCAAAUUUAAAGAACGGCUCAUGACUGAAAGAAGGAAUCAACCUUCUGGCAAAUAUACACGUAUAUAUUUGCCAGAAACAAGGAUUGAUUCCUUCUUUAAGACAUAAGCAGUUCUUUGAAUUUGUAUACCAAAACGCUCGCAAGUAAACUGGUGAUCCACUCGUUUGCUCAAACUUAGGGGUUGAUUGCUUCUUUCAAACAUGAGCAGUUCUUUGAAUCAAUAUACCAAAUAGCCCUUGGAAAUAUCGCAUAACCGAGACCAAGGGGCCGAGGUGGUCAUCGACCCGCCGUCAGAAGUGGCUACCUCUCACCAGCAACUCACUCGUUUGCUCGAGUUACUCAAACAUAGGGGCUAUCAAAUAGUUUAACUACCAUACUUAAAGCGAUGUGGCGUAGCCACAUUAGACGUCAACAUUAAAUAUAAGAGAUUUCAAAUUAUGCCAAAUGACCAUUAUGCCAAAUGACCAUUAUGCCAAACGACCAUUAUGCCAAAUGACCAUUAUGCCAAAUGAACAUUACGCCACACGAAAGCAUGUAUCACCUGCUGUUAUGCCAAAUGAACAUUAUGCCAAAUGAACUUAUGCCAAAUGAACUUAUGCCAAACGAACUUAUGCCAAACGACGUGCUCCCAUUUCCCAAAGAGAAUAGUGAAAGAGACGCAGAGUGAAAAUCAGUCAAAACGGCAACACUCCCUUUACGAUGAUUUCAACACUAGAAUUUGGCAACCGUUUCCAAAGGCAGCACUUUAAAUGACUCCUAUUAUAUUUUGAAAACAAACCUUUUGUCGAUCGUUGGAUUUGUUUAUCAAACGAUGUGCAUUUCGAAACAAAGAGAUGAAAUAAUUCUAAAGCUUGUUUUUACUCAUACAUAGACUCUAGAAUGCACCUUACAAUCACGAUUGCACUAAAUUCUGGCGAAAAUUCAAAUUUCUUUUUUGAUAGAUUUACAAUACUUAUCUCCUCCAACUCAGGCAUGAGUAAUGUUUAUUUACAUUGCACGAUUGGUCUGCUCAAUAAGGUAUUUUUGGCUUCACACUAUUCGUCUCUUUCCCUAUUCUCUUUGCCAUUUCCAUUUUUGCAUCAACUUUGCACUCCCUCGCAGAAAAGUUUGUUUAACAAACGUCCUACGCUGAUUCACUUUGUUCGACGUUUUGUUGAAUGUAGGACUAGUUUUUUUGUAGGGUUUUGACGUCUUACACACAACGCAAAAUACAUUGCACGCAACGCAAAAUACAUUAUGAAUUUCUAUUUUGAUGAAAAAAAAAUGCAUUUAAUUUAGCUGAUUUUUGAAAAUGCAUCUGCAUCAAGUGAUCUGCCCCUAGGAUUUGCCAGUAGGCUUUAGAAAGGUCGAUCACAGAAAAGUAUUUGGACUUUUCGAUCCUGCCUAAAAUACCGAGCAUGUCUGGAAAAGGAUAUGCAACAUCUUUUGUGAUCUCGUUAAUCCGCCGGCAGUCUAGACAGAUUCGCCAUUCUCCCGUUGAUUUUUUUACCGGAAGCAACGGAUUGCACCAUUCGGCGUUGGACUCCUCUAUAAUAUCUAGUUCUUGCAUACGUUACACUUCUUUGUCUAUUUCCUUCUGGAUAUGCGGUGAACAGCGAUAUUGCGGAGGUUUUUUGGGUUGUUCACCAUCGAUCAGGUCAAUUUUGUGAGACAAAAGUUUAGUGCGUCCGAGUCUCCCAUCGUUUGUGCUUUUGAAUAUUUCAAUUAUUUCUUGCAGCUGUUUGGUUUUAUCAUCAGUCAAUUUAUGGG